UAACAAGAAAUUUUUUAAUUUCGAACUAAAACUAGGUUAUAAUAAACCCUUGUUAA
RNAcentral lists this transfer RNA (56 nucleotides) under Nymphon gracile. RNAcentral's name for it is "tRNA-Arg". The record is from RNAcentral. Lineage: Eukaryota; Metazoa; Arthropoda; Pycnogonida; Pantopoda; Nymphonidae.